GCCACGCUGAAAUGCAAUCCACGUGCACAAGGACACACCCGGUAACUUACAAGGGUGAUCGCCAUUCAUCGACAUCCGCACGUGAAUACGAAGAAAUUCAGCGUUUACACAACUUUACUCAUAUAUUUACACGCAACUUCACUACAAGGUUGACGAAUAAGACCAAAUUUGACUUUCAGGUUUAAUAAAUUAUAAUUCAGUGGUGGAAUGAACGUCCAACCUCAAUCCGGACCGCAGAACCUGCCGCCAUUUUCAAAAAACAGCUGCAGACCCACCUCUUCCAUGAGCACUUAACUAACCCCUACCAUUCCAACCCCACAUUAUUAAAAAUAAUAAUAAUAAUAAUUACUCUGGCUCUUACACCUCGACUCUGCGCACAUAAAUGUUGUACGGUAGCACCACUCGUAUUGUUCUCCGCUGGAUAUAUCGCUUUGCUUGUAUUUCCUCAUUUGUAAGUCGAUUUGGAUAAAAGCGUCCGUGAAACGAAUGAAUGCAAAUGUAAAUAAUGUAAAUGCAAAUGUAAAUAAAGAUGAUAAAUUAAUCAAAUUUGCAUUACCCCCGCCCACACUUUUAGACUUUACGCCCCAAAAUAGGUGUGUAAAAUAUAUGUGUAAAACAGAUGUGUAAAACAGGUGUGUAAAAUAGAUGUGUAAAAUAGGUGUGUAAAAUAGAUGUGUAAAACAGAUGUGUAAAACAGGUGUGUAAAAUAGAUGUGUAAAAUAGGUGUGUACAAUAGGUGUGUAAAACAGGUGUGUAAAACAGAUGUGUAAAAUAGGUGUGUAAAAUAGGUGUGCAAAAUAGGUGUGUAAGAUAGGUGUGUAAAAUAGGUGUGUAAGAUAGGUGUGUAAAACAGGUGUGUAAAAUAGGUGUUUAAAACAGGUGUGUAAAAUAGAUGUGUAAAAUAGAUGUGUAAAAUAGGUGUGUAAAAUAGGUGUGUAAAAUAGAUGUGUAAAAUAGGUGUGUAAAAUAGGUGUGUAAAAUAGAUGUGUAAAAGAGGUGUGUAAGAUAGGUGUGUAAGAUAGGUGUGUAAGAUAGGUGUGUAAAAUAGGUGUGUAAAAUAGGUGUGUAAAAUAGGUGUGUAAAAUAGAUGUGUAAAAUAGGUGUGUAAAACAGAUGUGUAAGAUAGGUGUGUAAAAUACGUGUGUAAAAUAGGUGUGUAAAAUAGAUGUGUAAAAUAGAUGUGUAAAAUAGGUGUGUAAAAUAGAUGUGUAAAAGAGGUGUGUCGUUUUGCUCAUGUGAAAGAUAAGACCUGUCUGUAAAUCAGCUCGUACAUUCGGACAGGUUAAUCCUGUCAGUUAUUCCCAGUGUUUUAUGUCAUGGAUUUCUAUAAGAUGGUCCCUGAAGGUUUAAAAGCCAAAGUGCUGAUAAGAAAUAAAAUGACUGUUACUAAAGAAACACUUAAGUGAAAGUAAAAAGACGCCUUAAUGUUAAACUUCACAGCUCAGUCUCCAUGCCUCGUUAGAGAUUACUUUCAGUCACAUCCCAAACUCAGAGAUUCCAUUCUAACAAGACUCGGGUGCGUUUCACCCAUAAUGCACUGCGAGCACACAUCAGACUUAACACUGAGUGUGUCUGACCCUGUUACCCCACCCCCUUUACUAAACACUCCCAGUGCAUUUCACAAAAAACACACAUCUGUCACAGUGUGUAACGGCCAAUCAGAAACAGGAGUGUGUGUGUGUGUGUGUGUGUGUGUGUGUGCGUGUGUGUGUGUGUGUGUGUUCUAUAUAAACUGCUAUAUUUUAUAUUACUUGAAUACAUAAAUUUUUGUUAUUUAUUUGGUGUAUAUUAUUUUUAUACUGUAUAGCCUUACAAUACAACUUUUGAUAUUAUAUUAUUUAUUAUUGUUUAUUUACGUAGAAUCUAUUUAUUCACGGUAUUUAUAUUUAUUUAAUUGUGUAUUUCAUUCAUCUCAUUUCUAAGUAAUCACCGUAAUAAGACUGUUUUUAUAAUACAGCUGUAAGAUACACUAUAAUAUAAUAAUUUGUAUAAUAACUUAUAAUUUACUAUUUAUUUAUUUGCAAACACAACACAGGUUUAUUUGUGUUAUAAAUAUAUAUAUUUGUUUAACAAAUAUAUAUUUGUUAAAUAUAGGUGUGCAACAAUUAUUGGCACCCUUUUAGUCAAUGCUUUGUGCUAGCUCCCUUUGCCGAGAUAACAGCUCUGAGGCUUCUCCUAUAACGCCUGACGAGGUUGGAGAAUACAUGGCGAGGGAUCUGAGAGCGUUCCUCCAUACAGAACCUCUCCAGAUCCUUCACAUUUCAG
Ictalurus punctatus (channel catfish) is the source of this 2265-nucleotide long non-coding RNA. The record is from Ensembl. NCBI's taxonomy places the organism in Eukaryota, Metazoa, Chordata, Actinopteri, Siluriformes, Ictaluridae.